AGAGUUUGAUCCUGGCUCAGGACGAACGCUGGCGGUGUGCUUCACACAUGCAAGUCGAACGGAGUAGCAAUACUCAGUGGCGGACGGGUGAGUAACACGUGGGAAUCUACCAUUAGGUGGGGAAUAACAGGCCGAAAGGACUGCUAAUGCCGCAUAUGUAGGCAUCUCGACAGAGAUGUUUAUGAAAGGAGUAAUCCGCCUUUUGAUGAGCCCGCGUCCGAUUAGCUAGUUGGUAGGGUAAAAGCCUACCAAGGCGACGAUCGGUAGGUGGUCUGAGAGGAUGAUCACCCACAAUGGGACUGAGACACGGCCCAUACUCCUACGGGAGGCAGCAGUGGGGAAUUUUACGCAAUGGGGGAAACCCUGACGUAGCGACACCGCGUGAGCGAAGAAGCCCUUUGGGGUGUAAAGCUCUGUCAACAGGAACGAAACAAAUGACGGUACCUGUGGAGGAAGCAUCGGCUAACUACGUGCCAGCAGCGGCGGUAAGACGUAGGAUGCAAGCGUUGUCCGGAUUUAUUGGGCGUAAAGAGUUCGUAGGCGGUUUGUUAAGUCUGAUGUUAAAGACCGGGGCUCAACCUCGGAAAUGCAUUGGAUACUGGCAGACUGGAGUGCAGUAGAGGCUAGUGGAAUUCCCAGUGUAGCGGUGAAAUGCGUAGA
RNAcentral lists this ribosomal RNA (660 nucleotides) under uncultured bacterium. RNAcentral's name for it is "bacterial SSU rRNA". It matches the Rfam family "Bacterial small subunit ribosomal RNA", at positions 8 to 694 of the family's 1533-position model. The record is from RNAcentral.